CGAGACUCAGUGAAAUUGAACUCGCUGUGAAGAUGCAGUGUACCCGCGGCAAGACGGAAAGACCCCGUGAACCUUUACUAUAGCUUGACACUGAACAUUGAGCCUUGAUGUGUAGGAUAGGUGGGAGGCUUUGAAGUGUGGACGCCAGUCUGCAUGGAGCCGACCUUGAAAUACCACCCUUUAAUGUUUGAUGUUCUAACGUGGACCCGUAAUCCGGGUUGCGGACAGUGUCUGGUGGGUAGUUUGACUGGGGCGGUCUCCUCCUAAAGAGUAACGGAGGAGCACGAAGGUUGGCUAAUCCUGGUCGGACAUCAGGAGGUUAGUGCAAUGGCAUAAGCCAGCUUGACUGCGAGCGUGACGGCGCGAGCAGGUGCGAAAGCAGGUCAUAGUGAUCCGGUGGUUCUGAAUGGAAGGGCCAUCGCUCAACGGAUAAAAGGUACUCCGGGGAUAACAGGCUGAUACCGCCCAAGAGUUCAUAUCGACGGCGGUGUUUGGCACCUCGAUGUCGGCUCAUCACAUCCUGGGGCUGAAGUAGGUCCCAAGGGUAUGGCUGUUCGCCAUUUAAAGUGGUACGCGAGCUGGGUUUAGAACGUCGUGAGACAGUUCGGUCCCUAUCUGCCGUGGGCGCUGGAGAACUGAGGGGGGCUGCUCCUAGUACGAGAGGACCGGAGUGGACGCAUCACUGGUGUUCGGGUUGUCAUGCCAAUGGCACUGCCCGGUAGCUAAAUGCGGAAGAGAUAAGUGCUGAAAGCAUCUAAGCACGAAACUUGCCCCGAGAUGAGUUCUCCCUGACUCCUUGAGAGUCCUGAAGGAACGUUGAAGACGACGACGUUGAUAGGCCGGGUGUGUAAGCGCAGCGAUGCGUUGAGCUAACCGGUACUAAUGAACCGUGAGG
RNAcentral lists this ribosomal RNA (895 nucleotides) under Escherichia coli. RNAcentral describes it as "partial 23S ribosomal RNA". It matches the Rfam family "Bacterial large subunit ribosomal RNA", at positions 2027 to 2916 of the family's 2925-position model. Lineage: Bacteria; Pseudomonadati; Pseudomonadota; Gammaproteobacteria; Enterobacterales; Enterobacteriaceae. The record is from RNAcentral.